This 649-nucleotide long non-coding RNA is filed under the name Lathyrus oleraceus (garden pea). RNAcentral describes it as "Pisum sativum (pea) long non-coding RNA (PSAT_LNC003195)". The record is from RNAcentral. Lineage: Eukaryota; Viridiplantae; Streptophyta; Magnoliopsida; Fabales; Fabaceae.
UUAAAAGUCUAAUUUUAAAAUAGAAAAAGGCCUCCAAAUUAUUCGGGCCGGCCCUGAAUUUACUGGUAUAUGAACUUUGGUGAAAAUAUUUUAUAAAUUCUUAGAAAAAUAUAACUAAGAAUGCAAGAGAGAUUACAAUAAUAACAGUUGCAAUUACAAUUAUAAGUUUAAAAGAUAUAGAACUAUUUUUCACUAAACUAACGAAUACAAAAACAUUGACCGUUUAUGCAUACUGGUGUUCCACGAACUAGGAUGCAAGGAAAAAGACAAUCGAGGAACGAAGUACAUUUGGAAUCUGUGAUUCAAAACAAGAAUAAAAGAGUGUUAUUGAAAAUGCUUACUAUAUAAUUUAAGAAGAAAACACUUUUAAAUGGUGGAAAGAAAAAUUUACCACUAGCAUCAGUUGCAGUAAGAAAUAGAGAAAAUAAUAAAAUGCCUAUAGUACUAGUAUAAACAAACUUGAAAGCUUUAAUUAAUUUUUUCAUAUGUAUGUAACAAACAAAAACCAAUUCAAUUACUUUUUUUAUAGGAAAAUUGUGUCACUUUAUAUAGUAUAAAAAAGAAACAUAUUCUAUUUUCUUCAAUUAAAUAUUUAUAGCAUUUAUAAAAAUCGUAAGAUACCUUUUGAAAAUUAGAAUGGUUAUGAAAU